RNAcentral lists this transfer-messenger RNA (426 nucleotides) under Chlamydiota bacterium. RNAcentral describes it as "Chlamydiae bacterium transfer-messenger RNA, SsrA". It matches the Rfam family "transfer-messenger RNA". From Rfam's summary of the family: Bacterial tmRNA, also known as 10Sa RNA or SsrA, is named for its dual tRNA and mRNA-like properties. Its role is to liberate the mRNA from a stalled ribosome. To accomplish this part of the tmRNA is used as a reading frame that ends in a translation stop signal. Lineage: Bacteria; Pseudomonadati; Chlamydiota. The record is from RNAcentral.
GGGGGUGUAUUGGUUUCGACUAGGAAAUAAAGUAUUGAUUGCAUGCAGAGGAUAUCGGUUGGCCUCUAUAAAAAACCGGUAAAACAAUUAAAUGCCAAUAACGGUGUUAAAGUAGCUAGAGGCGAAAAAAUUCUUGAUUUCCCUGGAACUCAAGUUGAUUCCACUCCAGUUGCAGUUGCAGCUUAAGCCUAACCGCUUAAGAGGCCCGAUAGCCUGAAACUAGACCAAGGGUUUUGGGGUCUAUCGUCAUUUUCUUGGUGUGAUGUGAAAUCCGACCGCUUCUAGGGUCUCCCAUCGAGAUUAAAUGAAGUAAGCUAGUCAUAAUGUCGUGUUCUACAUGGUGACUAGUCUAACCUCAGAGCACUAAGCAUGUAGCGGUCAGUAUGGAGUUUGCUUAGGACGAGAGUUCGAUUCUCUCCACCUCCA